GCGUCGUCUUCAGAGUUUGAUCCUGGCUCAGGACGAACGCUGGCGGCGUGCCUAACACAUGCAAGUCGAACGGGGUUAGAUCUUCGGAUUUAACUUAGUGGCGAACAGGUGAGUAACGCGUGAGAAACCUGCCUUUCAGUGGGGGACAACAGUUGGAAACGACUGCUAAUACCGCAUAAUGUUAUUUGAGGGCAUCCUCAGAUAACCAAAGCUUUAUGUGCUGAAAGAUGGUCUCGCGUCUGAUUAGCUAGUUGGUGAGGUAACGGCUCACCAAGGCGACGAUCAGUAGCCGGUCUGAGAGGAUGAACGGCCACAUUGGGACUGAGAUACGGCCCAG
RNAcentral lists this ribosomal RNA (337 nucleotides) under uncultured bacterium. RNAcentral's name for it is "bacterial SSU rRNA". It matches the Rfam family "Bacterial small subunit ribosomal RNA", at positions 1 to 334 of the family's 1533-position model. The record is from RNAcentral.